AGCGUUGUCCGGAAUCAUUGGGCGUAAAGCGCGCGUAGGCGGCCCGGUAAGUCCGUUGUAAAAGUCAAAGGCUCAACCUUUGAAAGCCGAUGGAUACUGCCGGGCUAGAGUCCGGAAGAGGCGAGUAGAAUUCCUGGUGUAGCGGUGGAAUGCGCAGAUAUCAGGAGGAAUACCCAUAGCGAAGGCAGCUCGCUGGGACGGUACUGACGCUGAGGCGCGAAAGCGUGGGGAGCGAACAGGAUUAGAUACCCUGGUAGUCCACGCCGUAAACGAUGGGCACUAGGUGUGGGAGGUGUCGACUCCUCCCGUGCCGACGCUAACGCAUUAAGUGCCCCGCCUGGGGAGUACGGCCGCAAGGCUAAAACUCAAAGGAAUUGACGGGGACCCGCACAAGCAGCGGAGCAUGUGGUUUAAUUCGACGC
RNAcentral lists this ribosomal RNA (422 nucleotides) under uncultured Alphaproteobacteria bacterium. RNAcentral's name for it is "bacterial SSU rRNA". It matches the Rfam family "Bacterial small subunit ribosomal RNA", at positions 537 to 957 of the family's 1533-position model. Lineage: Bacteria; Pseudomonadati; Pseudomonadota; Alphaproteobacteria. The record is from RNAcentral.